This 287-nucleotide ribosomal RNA is filed under the name Pantoea sp. July_TSA2F5. Its description in RNAcentral is "partial 16S ribosomal RNA". It matches the Rfam family "Bacterial small subunit ribosomal RNA", at positions 1086 to 1372 of the family's 1533-position model. Lineage: Bacteria; Pseudomonadati; Pseudomonadota; Gammaproteobacteria; Enterobacterales; Erwiniaceae. The record is from RNAcentral.
CCCGCAACGAGCGCAACCCUUAUCCUUUGUUGCCAGCGGGUGAUGCCGGGAACUCAAAGGAGACUGCCGGUGAUAAACCGGAGGAAGGUGGGGAUGACGUCAAGUCAUCAUGGCCCUUACGGCCAGGGCUACACACGUGCUACAAUGGCGCAUACAAAGAGAAGCGACCUCGCGAGAGCAAGCGGACCUCAUAAAGUGCGUCGUAGUCCGGAUCGGAGUCUGCAACUCGACUCCGUGAAGUCGGAAUCGCUAGUAAUCGUAGAUCAGAAUGCUACGGUGAAUACGUU